GAUGAACGCUGGCGGCGUGCCUAAUACAUGCAAGUCGAGCGAACAGACGAGGAGCUUGCUCCUCUGACGUUAGCGGCGGACGGGUGAGUAACACGUGGAUAACCUACCUAUAAGACUGGGAUAACUUCGGGAAACCGGAGCUAAUACCGGAUAAUAUAUUGAACCGCAUGGUUCAAUAGUGAAAGACGGUUUUGCUGUCACUUAUAGAUGGACCCGCGCCGCAUUAGCUAGUUGGUAAGGUAACGGCUUACCAAGGCGACGAUGCGUAGCCGACCUGAGAGGGUGAUCGGCCACAAUGGAACUGAGCCACGGUCCAGACUCCUACGGGAGGCAGCAGUAGGGAAUCUUCCGCAAUGGGCGAAAGCCUGACGGAGCAACGCCGCGUGAGUGAUGAAGGUCUUCGGAUCGUAAAACUCUGUUAUUAGGGAAGAACAAAUGUGUAAGUAACUAUGCACGUCUUGACGGUACCUAAUCAGAAAGCCACGGCUAACUACGUG
This 497-nucleotide ribosomal RNA is filed under the name uncultured bacterium. RNAcentral's name for it is "partial 16S ribosomal RNA". It matches the Rfam family "Bacterial small subunit ribosomal RNA", at positions 28 to 507 of the family's 1533-position model. The record is from RNAcentral.